UCUGCGGUGAUGUGCCUUUAACAUCUAAGGGGUAGCCAUAUUGAAUGGUUUCUUCAAUGAAAUACUCUUGUUACGCUUGGCUUCUGGGCAUG
Cannabis sativa is the source of this 92-nucleotide small nucleolar RNA. RefSeq annotates it as small nucleolar RNA R24. The record is from RefSeq and is a predicted model, not a curated record. The transcript has a single exon. Lineage: Eukaryota; Viridiplantae; Streptophyta; Magnoliopsida; Rosales; Cannabaceae.